GUAAUCAAUAAUUUUGAGUGUUUAUACGUAUGAACGUAACUGUGGGGAUUUUAUUUACUGUCAUAACAUCAGCAAACUGUUAUUUGCAUUCAGUUGCGUGGUACUAGGCUGUUGGAAAUAUGUUCAUAAUGUAUGUGUAAAGUAAAUAUGGCCAGUGAAACAGCAUGUGUGUUUGUCCUCAGUACCCUGAGCCUCACCUCUCUCCUUCUUACAGUCUCUCUUUAAUCCGCUGACAACGGAGCUUGUGUCACAAAGCAGUCAGUCUUAGAAAUAGUUUUGGUCUUGCAGGAAUCCUGCUGAAAGACACUGAGGUCCACGUAGAUGGCCUGGAAUACGAGUAACUUCCUAGUUCUCUGAUUUACCCCCACAUAGGAACAAUUUUAGACUUUUAAAUAAUUGCUUAUGAAUCAUCUGGAGGGCUGGUAAAGGAAGAUGUGUGGCACUCGUUUUCAUGCCAACAUUUUUCUCCGACUGUGAUAGGGUAUUAACAAAUUGUAAUCAAGGGAGAAAAACACUUGCAUGAACAUCUGCAGGAGCACUGGGAACCUCACCGAGAAUAGAAGUGGCCCAAAACAUGGAAUUCUUUGCUUUCUUUUCUUGUUAGAAUUUUUUGGCUUUGUGUUACCUUUUCAUGACAUUAUUUCUUUCCUUGAAUCAUUGGCCUUUUAUUCCUAUCUCAAUGACUGCACUUCUGUCCAUGAUUUUACUUUUUCUUAUCUUGCAUAGCUUUAAGCUUGUACGCUUUCUCACGCCUUAACAGCAGUCUUCUCAGCACGACAAAGCUGAGGUUACACACCUCUGUUGUAUUAAAUUAGGCUUUGGAUCACAGCCUGAAAUGCUACGCUGAGUGUUACAGAGGGCUGGAAGAAGUGUCCCCACUACACUCUUUGUUUUAAUGUGGUCUGCACUGUGACACGAGCGUGAGAUAUGUACUCUACAGAGGUGGGGUUUCUUCAGGCUCGUCAUGAAAUAUAUUUGAUGUUUGUUCUGUUCUGUGGCUGCAUGCUCUCAAAUUUCCUUUCCGAGAACAUUCAAAAGAUGAGGGGCAGUGUCCUAAUAGAGCACAACUCAUUCCUGUCACUGAGGCUCUUCUUGCUAACUUUUGCCCGCUUGUUUGCAUGAGAGCACAAGCCAUUACCGUUUACUUGGUGUCAUCAAGCUGUAAUGAUUCAGCUCUGAAAAGCUGUAUUUACAGUCAGCCAAAUGAAACACACAAGUACACGAUAUGAAACCAGACUGGAAGAAUUGCUGGAGUGUUAAUUUACUACCUGGUAUCUGUCUCCUGGAGGAAGAGGAAAAAAAAAAAUGGAAACCAGUAGUCUCCCACUGGAAUCUUGGCUUGAGGCUUACCAGUUCAUACCAGCCUUAUUUGUGAUGAUCUCUCAUGAUGCUGGAGCCUGCAUAACCUCCUGCUGAAGAAGACCUGGCUAAUACUGACGCGCUCCCACUGACCUUGUGUAUUUCCAGAUAUAGUCCAUGAGAACGUUUUGUCCUGCCUUUAAAAUACUGUCUACUGUACAUGUCAAAGUAACAACAUCCAGUCAGACUUUGCAUGACAUGAGGCAAAAACAGGAUUUUCUAGCAUGGUGGCUUCAGGGAGGAAUUUAGGAAUGGUGCAUUGCGGAAUGACUUAAUGUGAGCUCUCAUGAUGAUCAGAGGGAGCACUACUGGGGGAAGUUCACAAAUGGAGUUUUGAAGGAGCUAUUUAAAAUGAUAAUAUGGGAACACUUGGGUUUUGACGUGGGCAGCGGUGGGAGCGUUCUGUGAACUUGACUGGCGUAGCUUCAUUUUGCGUUGUGGUGCGACCCACCAGAUGAAAGAGGGCACAGUUAAGUUGCAGAGUCCGUCAGUUGCACAGGCCAUGUUCCUUGCAAACGAAACCCUCUGUGCUAUGGUCAGUUGAUGCACAAGAAUCACAUCCACAGGCCCACAGUCCAUCCCACUCGGCUCCAGGGUGAUCAACACUUACCCGUAAUGAUUCCACCAUCUGCAACAACCCCUGUCAGCGAUGCUGCACUUUUGCCAAGCGUGGCUUCUCAGGAAAUCUGGAGGUCACAAGUUCCAGGCUAUUCUGGAUCAGUCACACGGCACAUAAGUCAUCGGGCCAACAACUUCAAGAGACAUCCAAAAAGGAGAAAACACAUCCGCCCUUCGCCGCCGCCACCACCAAAUACUCCCUGUCCUAUUGAUUUGAUUGAUUUUGAGGAUCUCCAACCUCAGAGGUCUUUCCUAGAACUCUUGUUUAACGGGUGCAUUCUCUUUGGGCUUGAGUUCAGCUAUGCCAUGGAAACAGCCUAUGUUACCCCUGUGCUGCUUCAGAUGGGGCUUCCAGACCAACUGUACGGAAUGGUGUGGUUCAUCAGCCCCAUAUUAGGGUUCUUGUUACAGCCUUUACUGGGGGCCUGGAGUGACAGAUGCACAUCAAGAUUCGGGAGGAGAAGACCUUUCAUUCUGGUCUUAGCAGUAGGAGCAUUGCUUGGGCUCUCACUUAUGCUGAAUGGCAAAGAUAUAGGGAGCACCUUGUCUGACACUGCGAAUAACCACAAAUGGGGGAUCAUUCUUACAGUCUGUGGUGUUGUCCUCAUGGACUUCAGUGCAGAUUCAGCAGACAAUCCCAGUCAUGCCUACAUGAUGGAUGUAUGCAGCCCAGUGGAUCAAGACAGGGGCCUCAACAUCCAUGCUUUGUUAGCAGGUCUUGGAGGUGGCUUUGGUUAUGUUGUUGGAGGAAUACACUGGGAUAAAACCAGUUUUGGAAAAGCUGUGGGAGGGCAACUUCGCGUCAUCUAUAUCUUCACCUCAGUUAUACUGACUAUCACUACUGUGCUGACUCUAAUUAGCAUUCCAGAAAGACCCUUAAGGUCCUUUAGCAGGAAGAAAAAGGUGAUGAAGAGUCCAAGUCUUCCUCUCCCUCCUUCUCCACCUUUCUUCUUUGAGGAGGGUGUAAACGAAAACUUUGCUUCUCAUAACUCAGCUCACUUACACGCAAGUUUUACGAGUCCCGUUUCUCCCCUCAGCCCACUCACGCCCAAAUAUGGCAGUUUUGUCAGCAGAGACAAUUCCUUGACGGGAAUUAAUGAGUUUGCAUCAUCAUUUGGGACUUCAAAUAUUGACAGUGUGCUUAUAGACUGUUUUACAGGCGGGCACAGUAGUUACUUAGCACUUCCAGCUAGCUUGCCCAGGCAGCCUGUCAGUGUCAGCUUUCCUCGGGUGCCUGAUGGCUGUUACCAAGGAGAAAAUGGAGUUCUGGAGCAAGGGGAGAGCAGCAUAACGCCGGGGCCUGAUGGCGAGGCACUACGGGUGGGCUCACUGGAUGCGAUAAAGCCACGGUCAUCAGGGAUCCUGAAAAGACCUCAGACCUUGGCCAUUCCAGAUAUCGUAACAGGACACUGUCCAGAAAACAGCAGAAGAAGAAAUGUAACCUUCAGCCAACAGGUUGCUAAUAUCUUGUUGAAUGGUGUUAAGUAUGAGAGCGAGCUGAAUGGAUCAGGCGAGACCUCUGAGCAACCACUGUCUGUGAAACUGCUUUGUUCGACCAUCUGCCGGAUGCCCAAGGCUCUUCGUAACCUCUGCAUCAACCACUUCCUAGGAUGGCUUUCGUUUGAGGGGAUGUUACUCUUCUAUACUGACUUCAUGGGAGAAGUAGUGUUUCAAGGGGAUCCGAAAGCGCCUCACAGCUCAGAUGAGUAUCAGAAGUACAACGCUGGGGUCACCAUGGGCUGCUGGGGAAUGUGCAUCUAUGCAUUCAGUGCUGCUUUCUAUUCAGCCCUGCUGGAGAAGCUGGAGGAGCGGUUCAGCACACGGACGCUGUAUUUUGUGGCAUAUUUGGCCUUCGGGCUGGGCACAGGGCUGGCCACGCUCUCCAGAAACAUCUAUGUGGUACUGUCACUGUGCGCUACCUACGGCAUCCUCUUUGCCACGCUCUGCACGCUGCCCUACUCCCUGCUCUGCGACUACUACCAGAGCCAUGAGUUCGUAGGCUCACAGGCGGAGGGCACGCGGCGCGGGAUGGGCGUUGACAUCUCCCUGCUGAGCUGCCAGUACUUCUUGGCGCAGAUCCUCGUGGCCUUGGCCAUGGGGCCGCUGACAGCGGCUGUGGGCAGCGCCAGUGGUGCCAUGUACUUCGCCAGCCUGGUGUCCUUCCUGGGCUGUCUCUUCUCCUCCCUCUGCGUCACCUAUGAGUCGCCGCCCAGCGAGGAGGUGCCACCCGCCGAGGAGCAGCGCCCGCUCUUGCCCCGUGCACGGAAUGAAUAAGUGGGAGAAAGCCACCACAGCCUCUACUGCCUCAUUGCAUCGCCCUCGGCCUCCCCAUCACGGUGUGGUGGGCUCAUGCGCCUCUGGGACGGCAGCGGAGGACAUGGUGAACGGCAGGAAGGUCUGUGCUGUCUUCGCUGAGCUUUUCCCUGCCCGCGGGCAGGGGCAAGUCAGUGGUGCCUGGCACUGCUCAUCCUUCCCCUGAGGUGGCAAAGGCCCAUCUGUGCCCCUGGGGUGACAGCAACAGGAAGCGGUGAUGUCAGCGUGGGGCCAUUCCCUCCAGCUGCCCCGCGGUACCAUCAUUCCCGGGGAGACGAGUGGCAAUGUCCAGCUUGAGGCAUGGGACCUGGAAGUCUGUUGCCCAGGCAGGGUGACAGCGAACUGCAGGGCUGCACGUGCUGCUGCGGGCACCGCCACUGCGGGAGUGCUGGGGCCACAGUGCUCCACCAGCUUCAUUGGUCAGAAGGUGCCAUCACACGGCCCUGCUGAGCGGCCCAGUCCUCAGUUGCCGAGGGCAGCGGUGACUCCUGUGAGGCCUUGGGGAGCAACAAGGCCAUCCUGCAAGUUCCAUCCUCUGCCCAUGGUAGGCCUGGCUCUGGGGGGUGUGUUUCAAAACUCUGGGAAGGCUGAGCAUGACUGGUCUUGCUCAGGUGGCGUAAGUACUCUGUCAAGCACCAUAGCCAGUCUCCUGGGUGCGCAGAGCUCCCACCAGCAGAAUUGCUCCAAGGAGCUGCUGUGGGGUGAAACCACAGUGGCCUGGCUCCCAAACCCUGCCCUGUAGGUUCUGGCUGUGAUCCAUGGUGAUGGUUGCCAAUACAUGCAUAUUUCCUUCCACGUUAGACUUUUAACUAAGACUACAAGGGCUUGUGAUGACUUAGCAGGAGGACCGACAGUUGUCUGUAACCCAGCCUUGGGGAGAGGGGUCUCUUUGCAUCAACUUCCUUGGGUAGAAGCUUGCUCUCGAGUUGAAAAUUUAAGAAGAAUUAUUUGUGUGAAAGUCUGCAGCACAUCAUCCUUGUUUUUCAUACAGUUGUACUUUGUGACAUUUUGAAAUCUGCAUGGGGAUCGGUGAUUAAGUACUUGUCAGCUAGAGCUGCAUCUUCCAUAUCUCACUUAAACUAGUAAAAGGGCUUUGUCAUUAUCUAUGAGAAUUCUUAAUUAUUCUGGUUUUGGAAGGUGGUGAAUGUGUGAGAUCUCUUAAAAAUUCCAGUUAAGCCCAGGAGUCUUUUAGGUCUUGAGAGCAAAGAUGAAAAUGGAAAUAAAGUUAAAACUAGGAUUUCUGUCAGCCUGCCUCUGUUAUUUGGGUAGGCAGCCAAGGUUUACCAAAGCUGAUGGGCAUUUGGGUGUUUACCUGUGUCGUGCAUUGCAUCCCUGUAGAGGUUAUUUUUGCUCACCUGGUCUUUAGGUCCAGAAAAAGGAUUUUCUCUGGAGGGUCACUACUUUUAAAUGAGCUGUACUUGAAUGUUCACCCAGGUUUAAUCUGAUGCUUGAUGCCAAGAUGAGUAACCUGUGUAAACUUUAGCUGUUAUGGUUUACUAUACUCCAAUGCUGAAAGCAUAAUGCACGACCUGUGAAAGGUUCUUGUAAGAACCUCUCGUUUUUAUCAUCUAUCCCUGAGUGUUACUGGUUUUUUACUUGAGAAGCAAGUUUCAUGAUACUCGGUAUUUAGUUAAGUGGAGGAGCACUACUGAAGUUACAAAGUCAAGCACUCAAGAGGUAAAAGACAGUCAGAUUGAUGAGUCUGUUCAUCUUUCUUUUCUUUCUUUGGGCUUACAUAGUGUCAUAUCUGCAGGAAUGUCUGUGACAUGCCGUUUCCUUGAUCCGGGGGCAGUUGUCUCCAAGAACGUUCAGGAUGAAGCUGAAACAAAAUAGCAUGAGAAACUGGUACAUUUGGCGCUUCUGAUUUCUGACAAUCUAAAGACUUGCCUUUUGAGAAAUUUUCUUUUCUUAUUCAUCUGCUGUAUAACCUUAAUUUCUCUUCCUUAUCUUACCGAUCUUUUCAACUCAAAAAUGUUUUUUUUUUGUCCCACUAGCUAAUGCAGUACUGGUUCUUAGAAUGCUUUCUCCUCUUAAGUUUUUUAGCCAGUAUUAUUGCACUAAAUGCAUCAGGAGCACUUUUCUUUUUCUAGGUAGCUGGAGUUGCAGAUCAUUUUGUUGUAAGCAAGGUUCUCCAAAAGAGUCACAGAAUUGAUGAAAUCAAUGUAUCUGAUGGUAAUCUUUGUCUCUGCUUCCAUCUGUAAAUAAUAUUAUGAAAUGUAUUUAUAUAGUUAUAGAACUAUUGCUAUGCCCCUAUGCACUGCCUAAUAGAAUAUAUAUUACAUUUUCUAUUUUAUGGGAUAUGGACUUUAUUUUCCGUAUGUAUUUAUGUAGUGUUUACAUACAUAGUACUUUUAAGUCAGCAUCAAUGUAUGUUAAUUUGGGGCUUUGAGCACUACUGGUGGUGUCUGGAAAAAAUCCAUGCAGAGCUGGAAGUUGCACCAAAUCCAUAGAAAUAACUUAAAAAGAGGCAUUGCUUACUUGCUUAUUCUUUGACAUACAUUUUGUUUUUUACAGAAAUUACUGUAUGUGGUCACUGUUGAACUGUGAGCUGCAAAGUGAUGUUUACCUUUUGGAAUCCAAAUGCUUCAAAUAUUCAGUCUAAAUCUGCGAGCUGCUGUUUAGAAGUAAGAUGCAUGAGUUUAGGCAGGAAUGUGAUUUUAUCUUAUGCUGUAGUUUAAUCUCUUCAGCGGUGCCCAAAGGUUAAUUUUGAUUAAGUCCUUAUCAUUAAAGGUUGCUUGAUGGCAGUUAUUUGUGGAUGUUCAUAAAUGUAGUUAUAGCAUCUGUACAGAAGUAGGGAAAAUGGGGAGAGGGAUGGAGAAAGCACCUAAUCAAUUGUGUCAUGUUUGUAAUUAAGCUGGCUAUAACCAUUUCAGCGUGUGUCUGCAGUUCACUUGACCUCUGCUGUGUCUCUCAGAAAAGACAACCUACCAUUUUUGGAACUUCUGCUGUAUCUUUGAAUGAAGAAAAUAAGCCUUUUCAAGAAUCAAAUCAAAUAAACAUGCAUGACUUUUAUAUUAAAAAAAGGAAAAUUACUGUGCGAACUAUUUGAAGAGAGUUGUCUAGACAUUUUCUACUAAUGAGUACUUAGUCAUCUUGUACUCUAUAGGACAUGUACUUUAUUUUAUUAAAAAAAGAAUUUGUCUUCGGGUAAAAGGUGGCUUUCUUAAUGUAUGUUCUUCCUCCCUCAGACUGGAAUACAGCCUUAGUGAGAGACUUUUAGAUGCCAUUACCAUAACAACACCCAAUGGAUUGCAGUAAACAUCUUGAGACUUCUACAACUACUAGAGCUGAAAUGCCAAGGGAAAUCUUCACUCCAUUCAAUUUAUAUAAAUUUACAUUUUCUAUACCUCUGGUUGUUAAGACAUAAUGAUUCAUUUAGCCUAGCUUUUCUGCUGGGAAGGUUUUUGUUGAUGUUUACUAAGGAAAGGACUGCAACAACUUUCCAUUGCCGUUCCGCUGCCCCAGGCUGCUGCUUCUGUAGCAGGGUCAGUGGAAGGGAAGGUGCUAGUUAAAGUGGGCCUGCAUUUAGGGUGGCAGAUUUCGGGCUGCAACACCCAAGACAACAGAAAAGCUGUGGGGCAGCAGCACCAGGGCAGACUAGAGGUCUUUCACUAGAAUCCUUAGUUUUCUUGGUGUUGCCAUCCAUGCUGUCUCCUAACAGGUUUGAAGGUUCUGGGAAGACACUGUUCUACACUGCAUAAGGAGUUUUUCAUGUUAAAAGCCUUGCCAGCAUGCUCACUCUCUCUCACGUGUUCUGUGCAGAAAUGGUAAAUGCAUGGGAUAAUGCGAAUUUUUGUGUAUGCAGCUUGUUGCCUAAUGUCCCCACCCACAGUGGUAGGCAAGGAGUUUUACUUUAGAUCUGAAAGGCAACAGCAUAAUUCGAUACCCAAAUAGCACUAAUAGUUAACAGUAAACAAAAGGUGAGACUGCUUCAUCAGCUUGACAGGUGUAUGGAAAAUGGAAGUAUUCCAGGAGCAGGAAGCAAGCAGGCAAUGAGUAAUGUUAAUCAGAUGAGAAUUCAAAUGCCAAAUAUGCAUGGAGUGGCAGUCUGUGGACUGAGGAGCAGUCUGCAAUGGGGAUGAUGAAGUAUUUGCCACAUAUAUAAGCUGUUUAUAAGCUUUUCUGUUUUUGCUUUUUCUAGGACCCAGUGAUAUCUUUCUCGAACAAAGGAUAACAAAUUUCCACAGCCAAUGGGACAGCCAACAGAGGAAAUUUCAACGUCAGAGCAGAAAUGAAGACUUUGGGUUGUAGUAUCCCCGUAGCUGUUCAGGAUUCAAAAGGACAUGAAAGCAACUACUUUACUGCCUUGUGUAUGAUUGUGGGAUCCUUCAUUUAGUAACACAGUAGUAAUUUUUUUUUAAUAGGAAAAAAGCCAGGCCUCCGUGAAACUGGCUCAAAAGAAACCUUCCAGAGCAACCUUCUUGUGUUUGAAGCGGAAAGCUCCUGAAAGGGAAAGCUGUGUGGUACCUUUAGAUGACAAUAGGAAGAACUGUGCAGAUGCAAACCUUUACCUCUGAAGCAAUAAAAUCUAGAGUAAGCCACAGAGGAACUUCCUAGAAACCCUGUACCAGAGUACAGUCAUCAUUUUAUAUAAAAUGUGACUCCAAACAUAUCAAAUAUAUGGAAGAAGGGGAAGGUAUGAGAAACGCAAUACCACCUUUCACAGCCUCAUCCACUUCAAAGGAUAGUUUUAAUCAUCUACUCUAAUCUUUCAUCCAUAAGCGGAAAUAAAUACAGCUGUUCUCAGUACUGUGAUUUUUUUUAAAAGCAAGCGAAACCCUU
This is an RNA transcript of Chroicocephalus ridibundus (black-headed gull), 9072 nucleotides long. It is a transcript of the gene named solute carrier family 45 member 1, with no coding region annotated. The transcript has 16 exons. The record is from RefSeq and is a predicted model, not a curated record. NCBI's taxonomy places the organism in Eukaryota, Metazoa, Chordata, Aves, Charadriiformes, Laridae.